This 252-nucleotide ribosomal RNA is filed under the name uncultured bacterium. RNAcentral's name for it is "partial 16S ribosomal RNA". It matches the Rfam family "Bacterial small subunit ribosomal RNA", at positions 524 to 776 of the family's 1533-position model. The record is from RNAcentral.
UACAGAGGGUGCAAGCGUUAAUCGGAAUUACUGGGCGUAAAGCGUGCGUAGACGGUUACGUAAGUCGGGUGUGAAAGCCCCGGGCUCAACCUGGGAAUUGCAUUCGAGACUGUGUAGCUAGGGUGCGGAAGAGGGAAGCGGAAUUUCCGGUGUAGCGGUGAAAUGCGUAGAUAUCGGAAGGAACAUCAGUGGCGAAAGCGGCUUCCUGGUCCAGCACCGACGUCAGGCACGAAAGCGUGGGGAGCAAACAGG